RNAcentral lists this non-coding RNA (27 nucleotides) under Rattus norvegicus (Norway rat). Lineage: Eukaryota; Metazoa; Chordata; Mammalia; Rodentia; Muridae. The record is from RNAcentral.
UGUGGCCUCUGGACGUUACGGGAACUG